GUGCCAGCAGCCGCGGUAAUACGGAGGGUGCAAGCGUUAUCCGGAUUCAUUGGGUUUAAAGGGUGCGUAGGCGGGGUGGUAAGUCAGUGGUGAAAUCCUGCAGCUCAACUGUAGAAUUGCCAUUGAUACUGCCAUUCUUGAGUGCGCUUGAAGUAGGCGGAAUGUGCCGUGUAGCGGUGAAAUGCUUAGAUAUGGCACAGAACACCAAUUGCGAAGGCAGCUUACUAAGGCGAUACUGACGCUGAGGCACGAAAGCGUGGGGAUCGAACAGGAUUAGAAACCCUUGUAGUCC
This 292-nucleotide ribosomal RNA is filed under the name uncultured bacterium. Its description in RNAcentral is "partial 16S ribosomal RNA". It matches the Rfam family "Bacterial small subunit ribosomal RNA", at positions 505 to 796 of the family's 1533-position model. The record is from RNAcentral.